This is a long non-coding RNA of Rhipicephalus microplus (southern cattle tick), 175 nucleotides long. RefSeq lists it as uncharacterized. Lineage: Eukaryota; Metazoa; Arthropoda; Arachnida; Ixodida; Ixodidae. The record is from RefSeq and is a predicted model, not a curated record.
AUGGUCCGGACACAGAGGACAGGUUGCGGUGUGCAAUUGGAGCGGUCUUCCUGCAAGCCCUAACGAGACUUAUUAAGUGGUUUUAAAUACAGCAGCGGAGCGACCACGACGGUGCUACAAAAGACCCUAUAAUCAGUAUAAAGUCGAAAAUUAAAUACAAAUGCAGUUAUUCCAG